Molecule: long non-coding RNA, 486 nt
Filed under: Monodelphis domestica (gray short-tailed opossum)
Lineage: Eukaryota; Metazoa; Chordata; Mammalia; Didelphimorphia; Didelphidae
Description: lncRNA (ENSMODG00000043820.1)
Source: RNAcentral
CAAGGGCUUCUGGGAAAUUCUCCAGAGGAGCAGGGGUUUGAGGGCUGAGACACAGAAGGGAGGGAAAGAGGAGCUGUUUCUCGGGGCCAUUCAAGACACCUGUGGAGAUAUCUGACAGAAAACCUAAUAUCAAGGGUUCCUGUUUAAACUUCGCUGGUUCCUGUCAAGAAACCUAAUUUCUUCAAAGACUUUUCAUUCCAGGAACUAUUGAGAUACUGGACUCAAAUUGGUGAAGGAGGCUUGGAGAUCCCUAUGAUCAUUUGAGUUUUAAAAGAUAUCAUCCAGAUUGGAGCCCUUGUAAGGAUCCCCUAGAAGCCCAACAGCAAAAAGCAAAGUUCCAGAUGCAGAAAUUUCCCUUUCUACAUAUCCAGUUCCUCAUUGGAAGUCAGGAAUUUCAGUACUUAGAAAUUCACAAGCCCCUGACCAGUCCAUGAUGAGUCCAAGAUGGUAAAUUUUCUGGUAUAAAAUCAGGAAAGAGAGAGAGGU